Molecule: ribosomal RNA, 238 nt
Filed under: uncultured bacterium
Lineage: Bacteria
Description: partial 16S ribosomal RNA
Rfam family: Bacterial small subunit ribosomal RNA
Source: RNAcentral
CGGCGGACGGGUGAGUAACGCGUGGGUAACCUGCCUCAUACAGGGGGAUAACAGUUGGAAACGGCUGCUAAUACCGCAUAAGCGCACAGUACCGCAUGGUACCGUGUGAAAAACUCCGGUGGUAUGAGGUGGACCCGCGUCUGAUUAGCCAGUUGGCGGGGUAACGGCCCACCAAAGCGACGAUCAGUAGCCGACCUGAGAGGGUGACCGGCCACAUUGGGACUGAGACACGACCCAA